Molecule: non-coding RNA, 100 nt
Organism: Acanthosepion pharaonis
Lineage: Eukaryota; Metazoa; Mollusca; Cephalopoda; Sepiida; Sepiidae
Source: the annotation of a GenBank genome assembly
CGUUGAAGCAUCAGUUCUCAUACAAUCACCUAAGUUAAGCAACAUCAAGCUUGGUCAGUACAUAGAUGGGUGACCACUUGGGAAUUCCAGGUGCUGUAAG